RNAcentral lists this ribosomal RNA (484 nucleotides) under Tylopilus aff. vinosobrunneus 2B7. Its description in RNAcentral is "eukaryotic LSU rRNA". It matches the Rfam family "Eukaryotic large subunit ribosomal RNA", at positions 129 to 611 of the family's 3401-position model. The record is from RNAcentral. Lineage: Eukaryota; Fungi; Basidiomycota; Agaricomycetes; Boletales; Boletaceae.
UUGGAUCGUCCGAGUNGUAAUCUAGAGAAGCGUUUUCCAGCGUUGCGGCCGUGUACAAGUCUCCUGGAAGGGAGCAUCAUAGAGGGUGAGAAUCCCGUCUUUGACAUGGAAGCGCAGGGCUUUGUGAUGCGCUCUCGACGAGUCGAGUUGUUUGGGAAUGCAGCUCAAAACGGGUGGUAAACUCCAUCUAAAGCUAAAUACGGGCGAGAGACCGAUAGCGAACAAGUACCGUGAGGGAAAGACGAAAAGGACUUUGAAAAGAGAGUUAAACAGUACGUGAAAUUGCUGAAAGGGAAACGCUUGAUGUCAGUCGCGUCGGCCCGGGGUCAACCUUGCUUCAUCGCUGGGUGUACUUCCUGGUCGACGGGUCAGCGUCAGUUUCGAGUUCGCCGUACAAAGGUGAGAGCGAAUGUACCACGUCCAGGCGUGCGUUAUAGCCUCUCCGUCUUAUGCGGCGGUCGGGACUGAGGAACUCAGCAAUGCU